Molecule: ribosomal RNA, 629 nt
Filed under: Bacillus sp. (in: firmicutes)
Lineage: Bacteria; Bacillati; Bacillota; Bacilli; Caryophanales; Bacillaceae
Description: bacterial SSU rRNA
Rfam family: Bacterial small subunit ribosomal RNA
Source: RNAcentral
AUACAUGCAAGUCGAGCGGACAGAUGGGAGCUUGCUCCCUGAUGUUAGCGGCGGACGGGUGAGUAACACGUGGGUAACCUGCCUGUAAGACUGGGAUAACUCCGGGAAACCGGGGCUAAUACCGGAUGCUUGUUUGAACCGCAUGGUUCAAACAUAAAAGGUGGCUUCGGCUACCACUUACAGAUGGACCCGCGGCGCAUUAGCUAGUUGGUGAGGUAACGGCUCACCAAGGCAACGAUGCGUAGCCGACCUGAGAGGGUGAUCGGCCACACUGGGACUGAGACACGGCCCAGACUCCUACGGGAGGCAGCAGUAGGGAAUCUUCCGCAAUGGACGAAAGUCUGACGGAGCAACGCCGCGUGAGUGAUGAAGGUUUUCGGAUCGUAAAGCUCUGUUGUUAGGGAAGAACAAGUACCGUUCGAAUAGGGCGGUACCUUGACGGUACCUAACCAGAAAGCCACGGCUAACUACGUGCCAGCAGCCGCGGUAAUACGUAGGUGGCAAGCGUUGUCCGGAAUUAUUGGGCGUAAAGGGCUCGCAGGCGGUUUCUUAAGUCUGAUGUGAAAGCCCCCGGCUCAACCGGGGAGGGUCAUUGGAAACUGGGGAACUUGAGUGCAGAAGAGGAGAGU